CGAGAUUUCCCUUGGAAUAGCAACUUUGCUCAUUAAAUUCGUUUGUUUACUAAGAAAAUACGAUCGUCACCAAAUUAUAAACUACCAAAUAAUUACGACUUGUAAUUAUCUAUAUUUUGUUUCAGUUAACAUUUAAACUGUUUUCUAUCUAUAGAAUUUAAUGAAUAACUCUUUUAUUUUGCAUGCCACCUCCAAUAUGGCGUCACAGUCAACAAGUGUUUUCAUUGACAGGUAAGAAGGGCUUUUGUAGUAAUUUUCAACUUCACUGUUUACUGAUAAUCAUUUGGGAGUUUACAAAAAAAGUGUAAAAAUACUCAGUCAUAAAAAUAUUUGUUUGUCAAUCCAUAGGUGGUUUUUGGUAUCAUGAUUUAUGUGUCUUGGAAUCAGGACUCUGAAGUUAUGUUGGUUGAGUAAUAAGUUGCAGACCCUACGACCGGUCUUUGGACAUGUUUACGUUACUAUCAGAAUGACUUUGUUUUUUUUAUUUUCCAGAUUGAAUAUGCAUCAGGUUUCGGAAAUUCCAGAAGAAGGCGAUGAUAGAAACUUCACUACUUGACAUUGCACUCCUUAUUCCCGAAGUAGAAAAGGGUAAUCGAACAUGAUGAUUCUGAAGAUGAUUCCACUGAUCCAGUGAAUGGUUUAGGAAGAAGUGAACUGCCGAGAAACUCAGUGUGAUUUCGUGCCAAAAGGAACGAACGAUGUCAAUGAAGAGGAAACUGUAAGUAUACCCAAAUCUGUUAGUCAACAAAACAGAUAAAAACCUGAAAUGGGAGAAAAAAACUGUACCAG
Molecule: long non-coding RNA, 789 nt
Filed under: Octopus vulgaris (common octopus)
Lineage: Eukaryota; Metazoa; Mollusca; Cephalopoda; Octopoda; Octopodidae
Source: RNAcentral